RNAcentral lists this ribosomal RNA (450 nucleotides) under uncultured bacterium. Its description in RNAcentral is "partial 16S ribosomal RNA". It matches the Rfam family "Bacterial small subunit ribosomal RNA", at positions 354 to 796 of the family's 1533-position model. The record is from RNAcentral.
GCUAAGAAUAUUCCGCAAUGGACGAAAGUCUGACGGAGCGACGCCGCGUGGAUGAGGAAGGCCGAAAGGUUGUAAAGUCCUUUUGUCGAUGAAGAAUAAGUGGUGGAGGGAAUGCCAUCAUGAUGACGUUAGUCGGCGAAUAAGCCCCGGCUAAUUACGUGCCAGCAGCCGCGGUAACACGUAAGGGGCAAGCGUUGUUCGGAAUUAUUGGGCGUAAAGGGUACGUAGGCGGUUAUGUAAGCCCGGCGUGAAAUCCUGCAGCUUAACUGUAGAGCUGCGCUGGGAACUGCGUAACUUGAGUCAUGGAAGGGAAGUUAGAAUUCCAGGUGUAGGGGUGAAAUCUGUAGAUAUCCGGAGGAACACCGGUGGCGAAGGCGACUUGCUGGGCAGCAACUGACGCUGAGGCGCGAAAGCCAGGGGAGCAAACGGGAUUAGAAACCCUAGUAGUCC